CCAACUUGCUUUUUGGUCAUGAUGGUUCGUAGAAGCAAUAGAAAACCUAACUAAGACAAAUAGGUACCAGUGUAAUGGGAUAUUGCUGUGACAGAGCUGACCAUGUUUUUGGGAAAGUUGUGGAAGGACUUUGGAACUUGGGCUAGAAGAGUCAUUAAGUGUUAGGAGCUCCGUGGGAUGUUCUGUGGAAACUUGGAAGAUAAGAAUGCUGAGAGCAGUGAAGAGGAUGGAGGUUUAGCUUAUGAAGUUUCAGAGGGAAGUUUAAAGACUGUUGGGGGCCAUUUGUUAUUUUGAGUUAAAAUUCUGUGGUUCUGGUUAUCUGGGGCUGAAGAAUCAAUUGUGAUCAACAAGAUACCAGAACUACUGAAGUGAAACUUUGCUGGGAUAUUUGAUGCUGGUCAGCUGGAGCUAAGAAAUUUGUGGUGAUUAAGAAGAAACCAGCAUCACUGAGGGGAAAUCUUCUAGGAAGUGUUUCUUGAGAGCACAGAGAAGCUGUGUUCCAGAGGCAGUCAAGGUUGUACCUCAUGCUGGCAACCAGACUUGGCUAUGUGUAAGAGUCACCUAAGUGGUACUGGUUUUGAAGGCACACAGGGGUCCUGGAGAGCAGAUGAGGCUUGGCACUGUGAGAGGCCAUUGGUGAAGGCACAGCCUCCAUGGCAGUUGAAGGCCCAGGACUGAAGGGGUCAGGCAAAGAAGUUGAGACUUGGCACCAUGGGGAGAGCCUAUGAGAAGCUAUUGGUGAAGUACAGCCCAGUUAUAGCAGAAGACCCCCGUGUUUUGGAGAUACCAGUAGCAUGGGAUGACCACCAAGAACAGCAGCAGCAGAGUAGAGCCUUCUGGAGCUUAGAAGACAAGCUGUGUGUGCUGAAGAGGGUGGAGCUUGAGAGAGAAGUGACCUAAGCCCUUUGGAAGAGUCCAGAAAAUGAAUUACAAAAUAGAUCAUAACGCAGAAUAGAAGAAUGGCGGAUGGAAUGGUACAGACCAGAAUGAACGUCGGCCCAAGCAGAGCAGAGAAGGUUGGUGUUGCAGAAGAGGACUGGCAGCAGACACAGCCCCCAAGCAGGGCCAGUCAUCACAGCAGCUCUGGUUAUGAGGAAACAGCAGACAGGCAGAGCACAGAAACUAACUGGUUAAUGUCAGGUUACUGCUUCCUACUUCUGACUUAGGAUAAGAGCGGAGAACACCCAUUAGGCUGAUUGAAGCCAGCUGUUUGAGGAGUUUCUUCUUGGUCUUGUGGCAGGAGAGUGGGGCUGAGGAAGAGGCAUCAAGAUUAGCAUAUGUAAGAGGCCAAUGACAGAAAAGGACUGGAAAGUCUGCCCCACUAAGGCUGAUAACAGAGCAUCCACCAAAAAAGUGUGCCCCGUGCAAAUGUCCCAAUCUACCCAACAACAGUGUCACUGACUGUGCAACCUACUUUCCAGGCUCUCUGGUCCACUUCCCAUCCUGCAAGUGUCUGAUUUUUAAAUAAACUGUCUUCAUUUUUACUACCA
Molecule: long non-coding RNA, 1490 nt
Organism: Mesocricetus auratus (golden hamster)
Lineage: Eukaryota; Metazoa; Chordata; Mammalia; Rodentia; Cricetidae
Exons: 2
Source: RefSeq, a predicted model, not a curated record